UUGUCCUGUGACUGCGUACCUUUUGUAUAAUGGGUCAGCGACUUAUAUUCAGUGGCAAGGUUAACCAUCUAGGGGAGCCGUAGGGAAACCGAGUCUUAACUGGGCGUUCAGUCUCUGGAUAUAGACCCGAAACCAGGUGAUCUAGCCAUGGGCAGGUUGAAGGUUGAGUAACAUCAACUGGAGGACCGAACCGACUAAUGUUGAAAAAUUAGCGGAUGACUUGUGGCUAGGGGUGAAAGGCCAAUCAAACCUGGAGAUAGCUGGUUCUCCCCGAAAGCUAUUUAGGUAGCGCCUCGGACGAAUACUACUGGGGGUAGAGCACUGUUAAGGCUAGGGGGUCAUCCCGACUUACCAACCCUUUGCAAACUCCGAAUACCAGUAAGUACUAUCCGGGAGACACACGGCGGGUGCUAACGUCCGUCGUGGAGAGGGAAACAACCCAGACCGCCAGCUAAGGUCCCAAAUUACUACUAAGUGGGAAACGAUGUGGGAAGGCUCAGACAGCCAGGAUGUUGGCUUAGAAGCAGCCAUCAUUUAAAGAAAGCGUAAUAGCUCACUGGUCGAGUCGGCCUGCGCGGAAGAUGUAACGGGGCUAAGUAGUAAACCGAAGCUGCGGCAAUAUACUUUUGUAUAUUGGGUAGGGGAGCGUUCUGUAAGCGGUUGAAGGUGUGUGGUAACGCAUGCUGGACGUAUCAGAAGUGCGAAUGCUGACAUGAGUAACGAUAAAGGGGGUGAAAAACCUCCUCGCCGGAAGACCAAGGGUUCCUGUCCAACGUUAAUCGGGGCAGGGUAAGUCGACCCCUAAGGCGAGGCCGAAAGGCGUAGUCGAUGGGAAACGGGUUAAUAUUCCCGUACUUCUUACAAUUGCGAUGGGGGGACGGAGAAGGCUAGGUGGGCCUGGCGACGGUUGUCCAGGUUCAAGUGCGUAGGCUUAAGAGUUAGGUAAAUCCGGCUCUUUUUAAGGCUGAGACACGACGUCGAGCACCUACGGGUGUGAAGUCAUUGAUGCCAUGCUUCCAGGAAAAGCCUCUAAGCUUCAGAUUGUAAGGAAUCGUACCCCAAACCGACACAGGUGGUCGGGUAGAGAAUACCAAGGCGCUUGAGAGAACUCGGGUGAAGGAACUAGGCAAAAUGGUACCGUAACUUCGGGAGAAGGUACGCUCUCGACGGUGAAGUCCCUUGCGGAUGGAGCUAUU
RNAcentral lists this ribosomal RNA (1196 nucleotides) under Vibrio parahaemolyticus. RNAcentral's name for it is "partial 23S ribosomal RNA". It matches the Rfam family "Bacterial large subunit ribosomal RNA", at positions 586 to 1786 of the family's 2925-position model. Lineage: Bacteria; Pseudomonadati; Pseudomonadota; Gammaproteobacteria; Vibrionales; Vibrionaceae. The record is from RNAcentral.